GACAGAGGUGCCAAGCGUUAGGCGGAAUCACUGGGCUUAAAGCGUGUGUAGGCGGAAUGGUAAGUACCUUGUGAAAUCCCACGGCUCAACCGUGGAACUGCUGGGUAUACUGCUUUUCUUGAGCCACUUAGGGGCUGUCGGAACAAACGGUGGAGCGGUGAAAUGCGUAGAUAUCGUUUGGAACGCCAAUGGUGAAAACAGACAGUUGGGAGUGUGCUGACGCUGAGACACGAAAGCCAGGGGAGCGAACGGG
RNAcentral lists this ribosomal RNA (253 nucleotides) under uncultured bacterium. RNAcentral's name for it is "partial 16S ribosomal RNA". It matches the Rfam family "Bacterial small subunit ribosomal RNA", at positions 524 to 776 of the family's 1533-position model. The record is from RNAcentral.